AUUCAAUUAAAAAGAGGCAUACAAUGUACUAUCCUAAGGUGAUUUUCGACUCUUAUGUCAGAUCAAACUCAACAACUCCAUCCCAAGAUACAAUCAGUAACCUUCCCAGUGGGCACAACCUUAGAGAGGAUUAUAGAGCUUCAACCUAGUAGAUGAAAGAUCAAAGAAAUAGAUCAAAAAAAAUUUGGAAGAAGAAGGUUUAGGAGAGAGGAAGUGGACCAACAAAGAGAUUAGAUUAGGAGAGGAGAGAGCUUUUUCUUGUAUAUCCUAACUUCUAACAAAGGGCUUAAUUAUAGGCCUAAGAAUUAGCUGUUUGGGCUAGUAAACAGUCAAAAAUAUUAAACACAUAUUAACAGGCUAAUGGAUAGAAAACCAAUAGGCAAAACUUUAAUCAUCCAACAGACAAAACAUCAGUUAGACGAUCAACAUUAAACAACAUUAAAAUAUGGUAUUUAUCCUCAAAUAAAUAAGAAAAAAUAGUAAUAAUCAUUAAAAGAGAAAACAUAAAUAGAGAAAAAAAUGUGGGCCCC
This 530-nucleotide long non-coding RNA is filed under the name Elaeis guineensis (African oil palm). RNAcentral's name for it is "long non-coding RNA (EGUI_LNC049551)". Lineage: Eukaryota; Viridiplantae; Streptophyta; Magnoliopsida; Arecales; Arecaceae. The record is from RNAcentral.